GGGCCAUUUCACAUUGAAACACUGGUUCUCGUAUCAUCACCGUAGUUAAGCAACGUCGAGCCUAAGCAGUUCUGAGAUGAGAGACCGCUUGGGAAUACCAGAUGCGGUAA
Non-coding RNA from Acanthosepion pharaonis, 110 nucleotides. The record is from the annotation of a GenBank genome assembly. Lineage: Eukaryota; Metazoa; Mollusca; Cephalopoda; Sepiida; Sepiidae.